CGGCGCGAGUUUGAUCGGGGCGCGCGGCAGCGUUCUCUUUGCUUCCCCCGGACUCGGCCGGCCCGCCCCCACCGGCUCCCGCCAACCUGCGGGGGCCUGAGCCCGCGGGAAUCAGGAUCCGCCCUUCGGAUGGGGGCUGCGUUCGGAAAAGGGAGGGCACACCCAGUUUUGAACUCUGGAAGGGGUGGAGAAAAGAGGGAAAAAGAACGCUUCCGAGGCCAAUUUUAGGCCCCAGACCUCUCUAAUCCAUUUUAGAGGCCUGGUUUUGGGGCCAGGUAGCUGAGAGAGGGGUUGGGGUGAGGCGCAGGGCGUGCAUUCUUGGCGCCUCGUGAUCUUCUCAGGGUGUCGGAAAAGAUAUCGAAAUACUUCUUGGGAAAGUCUCCUUAAAAUUUCAACUCUGUCUCUCCAGGCUGGAAUUUGGCUGCUUCAACAAGCAACCUUUCCUGAAAACCAAAACAUUGUAAUCCCAAGUGAUUGGUUUGACAGCGCAUGUUUUGGCUGGCUGAGCUUGCAUGCCAACUGCGUCCCACCUGGUGCCCUUGAUCUGCAACACUCAGAUUUUCCUUUUACCCUAGCUGCACUUCACGUACUAAAUCAUCAUCAAAUAGUAUUUUCUGUGAAAGUCACAUGCACGUUGCCUUUCACGUGGUUGCCUCUCGUUUGUUCCCAAGCGUCCUCCAAAUCAGCUUUACAGAUUGUUCUUUGCUUAAGAGCAAAUAGCCCACCAAAAUUUACUAGGCCCUUUGUGCCACCAAGAGGUAGAUAAAUGAUUUAUUGAAUUAAUAACAAUUUUCUUUAGCAAAUGUUCAUCCACGAUGGACUAUGGCUAACCUCAAAGCACCACUUAUUCUAACUCCCCCUCCAAUAAAGAAAAACGCAACAACUCAAUGUUUAGAUGUACCAGAAUUAUUUUGGAUGAUUUUCAGACCUAAGUUUUUAUUCAUUACAUAAAUGAAUAAUAUCAAGC
Molecule: long non-coding RNA, 967 nt
Filed under: Homo sapiens (human)
Lineage: Eukaryota; Metazoa; Chordata; Mammalia; Primates; Hominidae
Description: HSALNT0032371
Source: RNAcentral